This 367-nucleotide unclassified non-coding RNA is filed under the name Hevea brasiliensis (rubber tree). Lineage: Eukaryota; Viridiplantae; Streptophyta; Magnoliopsida; Malpighiales; Euphorbiaceae. The record is from RNAcentral.
CGGCGACGGAGUUAGCGCCCUGGCGGAGGCGGACGAAGGUGAGGUCGCCGGAGGCAAGCUCGACGCUCCGCUGGCGGUCGAUGAGGUGGAGGAUGGCACCGGGGAUGCGGAGGAGGGUCUCCUCGACGGGAGGCGGGAGGGAAGCGGCUGGGGUGUCGUCGGCAUCGGGGAAAAGGUCGUUGACAAGAUCUCUCAUAUCGAUGGAGGGGUAGAGUGAGGAUGAGGAGGGUGGGGGGUUGGGGUUGAUGGGAUGAGGGGAAUUGAGUGAGGGGUAGAGAGAUGGAGUGGUAGUCUUGGUAUCGGAGAGGAAAGGGGAGUGGAGGUCGGGGUUGGAGUCGAGGACUUUGGGAUAGAGGGGCUGUUUGUG